Molecule: ribosomal RNA, 446 nt
Filed under: uncultured Pelotomaculum sp.
Lineage: Bacteria; Bacillati; Bacillota; Clostridia; Eubacteriales; Desulfotomaculaceae
Description: bacterial SSU rRNA
Rfam family: Bacterial small subunit ribosomal RNA
Source: RNAcentral
UGGAGCAUGUGGUUAAUUCGAAGCAACGCGAAGAACCUUACCAGGUCUUGACAUCCCGAUGCUAUUCUAGAGAUAGAAAGUUACUCGGUACAUCGGUGACAGGUGGUGCAUGGUUGUCGUCAGCUCGUGUCGUGAGAUGUUGGGUUAAGUCCCGCAACGAGCGCAACCCCUACGUUUAGUUGCUAACGCGUGAAGGCGAGCACUCUAGACGAACUGCCGUUGACAAAACGGAGGAAGGUGGGAUGACGUCAAAUCAUCAUGCCCCUUAUGUUCUGGGCUACACACGUGCUACAAUGGCCGGUACAGACGGACGCAAAGCCGCGAGGUGGAGCAAAUCCUAAAAAGCCGGUCUCAGUUCGGAUUGCAGGCUGCAAUUCGCCUGCAUGAAGUCGGAAUCGCUAGUAAUCGCAGGUCAGCAUACUGCGGUGAAUACGUUCCCGGGCCUU